RNAcentral lists this small RNA (16 nucleotides) under Arabidopsis thaliana (thale cress). RNAcentral's name for it is "ATSL056740". Lineage: Eukaryota; Viridiplantae; Streptophyta; Magnoliopsida; Brassicales; Brassicaceae. The record is from RNAcentral.
AAAAAAAAUACAAAAA